UCGGGAAUUUUGGGCAAUGGGCGAAAGCCUGACCCAGCAACGCCGCGUGAAGGAUGAAGUAUUUCGGUAUGUAAACUUCGAAAGAAUGGGAAGAAUAAAUGACGGUACCAUUUAUAAGCUCCGGCUAACUACGUGCCAGCAGCCGCGGUAAUACGUAGGGAGCAAGCGUUGUUCGGAUUUACUGGGCGUAAAGGGCGCGUAGGCGGCGCGGUAAGUCACUUGUGAAAUCUCUGAGCUUAACUCAGAACGGCCAAGUGAUACUGCAGUGCUAGAGUGCAGAAGGGGCAAUCGGAAUUCUUGGUGUAGCGGUGAAAUGCGUAGAUAUCAAGAGGAACACCUGAGGUGAAGACGGGUUGCUGGGCUGACACUGACGCUGAGGCGCGAAAGCCAGGGGAGCAAACGGGAUUAGAUACCCCCGUAGUCCCUGAGCGGGCUGGCAAGGCGCAU
This 447-nucleotide ribosomal RNA is filed under the name uncultured bacterium. Its description in RNAcentral is "bacterial SSU rRNA". It matches the Rfam family "Bacterial small subunit ribosomal RNA", at positions 355 to 825 of the family's 1533-position model. The record is from RNAcentral.